Nilaparvata lugens (brown planthopper) is the source of this 519-nucleotide long non-coding RNA. RefSeq lists it as uncharacterized. Lineage: Eukaryota; Metazoa; Arthropoda; Insecta; Hemiptera; Delphacidae. The record is from RefSeq and is a predicted model, not a curated record. The transcript has 3 exons.
UCUAUUUCUUUGUUUUCAGGCAUUACUUUCGCUGGUCGAGGUGGAUACUUGUCUGCUGGAUAAUUGCGUUGUUUAGUGUUCGUUUGGUACAUAUUCCUUGAAAGGAACUGGGAGAGGAAGUCCUCCAGGCUAUUAAUAUCUCGCACCUGGCUCUGGAAGAACAUCAGCGGCUCGCCGAGUAAUAAACUGGACAAUUGGAAACGCCACAUUAACCAAGAUGUGGGUGUCAGUUCCUGAACGGUUGAUGACUGCGGAUGAUGGCUGGCUAACCACAUUGGUCGGCGACUGGUUCAUGGUGACGAUAUUAUGGAAUACUUCGAAUAAAUUGCCUAAAGAAUAAAGUGUACUACCAAAUUACCGGAAUAUUAAAAUGGACUUACUGAUAGUGCCUAUUUUGGAUGAAAUUGUGUGGUGUUAAAAGUUUCAAGUGUCAUGUACAUGUAUUAUGCAAAGACCUUCUUAGUGAUACAGGUAUGAAUACCAACAUGGAGAAAUUAUAUUAAUAUAGCUCUUAAAAUU